Molecule: ribosomal RNA, 689 nt
Filed under: Escherichia coli
Lineage: Bacteria; Pseudomonadati; Pseudomonadota; Gammaproteobacteria; Enterobacterales; Enterobacteriaceae
Also listed under: 2 other names
Description: partial 23S ribosomal RNA
Rfam family: Bacterial large subunit ribosomal RNA
Source: RNAcentral
GGUUAAGCGACUAAGCGUACACGGUGGAUGCCCUGGCAGUCAGAGGCGAUGAAGGACGUGCUAAUCUGCGAUAAGCGUCGGUAAGGUGAUAUGAACCGUUAUAACCGGCGAUUUCCGAAUGGGGAAACCCAGUGUGAUUCGUCACACUAUCAUUAACUGAAUCCAUAGGUUAAUGAGGCGAACCGGGGGAACUGAAACAUCUAAGUACCCCGAGGAAAAGAAAUCAACCGAGAUUCCCCCAGUAGCGGCGAGCGAACGGGGAGCAGCCCAGAGCCUGAAUCAGUGUGUGUGUUAGUGGAAGCGUCUGGAAAGGCGUGCGAUACAGGGUGACAGCCCCGUACACAAAAAUGCACAUACUGUGAGCUCGAUGAGUAGGGCGGGACACGUGGUAUCCUGUCUGAAUAUGGGGGGACCAUCCUCCAAGGCUAAAUACUCCUGACUGACCGAUAGUGAACCAGUACCGUGAGGGAAAGGCGAAAAGAACCCCGGCGAGGGGAGUGAAAAAGAACCUGAAACCGUGUACGUACAAGCAGUGGGAGCACGCUUAGGCGUGUGACUGCGUACCUUUUGUAUAAUGGGUCAGCGACUUAUAUUCUGUAGCAAGGUUAACCGAAUAGGGGAGCCGAAGGGAAACCGAGUCUUAACUGGGCGUUAAGUUGCAGGGUAUAGACCCGAAACCCGGUGAUCUA